AUGAAGAAUCUUUAAUAAAUAACAAAAUAUGUAAAAGCUAAUUAUUCCUUUCUUCAAUAAAAAGAAUUUGUUAACAAUUUCAAGACUUGAAAAUAAAAAGAAAUACAUCAAUAAACCAAUAAAACCCGUAGCCGAAAAAAAAAACUGAGAGAAAAUUCAGGUACAAUGAAUCAAGCAGCGGAAAGAAUAAAAUCGUAGAAGUUUCUGGAAAAAGCCAAAGAACAAACCCUAAUCGAGAUUCUCUAAGGAGAGAGGGGGGCGGGGGAAAGAAUACACUUAUG
RNAcentral lists this unclassified non-coding RNA (281 nucleotides) under Hevea brasiliensis (rubber tree). Lineage: Eukaryota; Viridiplantae; Streptophyta; Magnoliopsida; Malpighiales; Euphorbiaceae. The record is from RNAcentral.